Molecule: ribosomal RNA, 383 nt
Filed under: uncultured microorganism
Description: bacterial SSU rRNA
Rfam family: Bacterial small subunit ribosomal RNA
Source: RNAcentral
GUGCACCAGUCGCGAAUCUUCCACAAUGGGGGAAACCCUGAUGGAGCGACGCCGCGUGCGGGACGAAGGCCCUAUGGGUUGUAAACCGCUGUUCAGUGGAAAGAACAUCCUCCGGCUGAAUAGGUCGGAGGCCUGACGUUACCACUGCAGAAAGUCCCGGCCAACUCCGUGCCAGCAGCCGCGGUAAUACGGGGGGGACGGAGCGUUGUCCGGAAUCAUUGGGCGUAAAGGGCGCGUAGGCGGCGAGGAAAGUCGAAUGUGAAAUCUUGCGGCUCAACUGCAAAACUAGCGUUCGAAACUUCCUCGCUUGAGUAUGAGAGAGGUGUGCGGAAUUCCUGGUGUAGCGGUGGAAUGCGUAGAUAUCAGGAGGAACACCGGUGGGC